GAUGAAGAACGAAGCGAAAUGCGAUACUUGGUGUGAAUUGCAGAAUCCCGUGAACCAUCGAGUCUUUGAACGCAAGUUGCGCCCGAAGCCACUAGGCCGAGGGCACGCCUGCCUGGGCGUCACACGUCGUUGCCCCCCACCAUCUACUCCUUCGGGAUUGCGGGGGGCGGAUGAUGGCCUCCCGUGCGCCUAGCCGCGCGGUUGGCAUAAAUACCAAGUCCUCGGCGACGCACGCCACGACAAUCGGUGGUUGCGAAACCUCGGUUGCACGUCGUGUGCGUUCGUCGCGCAUCGAGGGCUCGAAAAAAUGCUCGGCUCCGGCUCGGCUUUCAACGCGACCCCAGGUCAGGCGGGGUUACCCGCUGAAUUUAAGCAUAUCAAUAAGCGGAGGA
This 392-nucleotide unclassified non-coding RNA is filed under the name soil metagenome. RNAcentral's name for it is "partial contains 5.8S ribosomal RNA, internal transcribed spacer 2, and large subunit ribosomal RNA". The stretch from base 1 to 122 matches the Rfam family "5.8S ribosomal RNA", at positions 35 to 154 of the family's 154-position model. The record is from RNAcentral.